Molecule: ribosomal RNA, 235 nt
Filed under: uncultured bacterium
Lineage: Bacteria
Description: partial 16S ribosomal RNA
Rfam family: Bacterial small subunit ribosomal RNA
Source: RNAcentral
UGAGCAACCUGCCCCUGACCCUAGAAUAACAGUUGGAAACAGCUGCUAAUACCGGAUACGACCUCUUCCGACAUCUGAAGAGGUGGAAAGCUCCGGCGGUCAAGGAUGGGCUCGCGGCCUAUCAGCUUGUUGGUGAGGUAACGGCUCACCAAGGCUUCGACGGGUAGCCGGCCUGAGAGGGCGACCGGCCACACGUGGGACUGAGACACGGCCCAGACCUCCGUACGGGAGCAGC